CUCUUCCUGUGUGGAACCUGGGAAUCAAGUAGCCGGCUGGCCUUGCGGAGGAUCCUGCUUCCCCCUCCUCCACCCCAUUUUUUUCCUUUCACCCAGUAAAACCCUGUUUUACUCACCCUUCAAACCGUCUGCGAGGCUACAUUUUCGUGGCCACGGGACGGACAAGGACCCCAUCUUUAGCUGAACUACGGAAAAGCCCUGCAACACCACCAUCUCAUAGCUGACUUGGAAAUAAGCUAGCAGUGGCUGUGUCAGCAAGACCACCACAUGCAGCAAGGGUGGCCACUUCCAGCUAGCUCCUGCAUCCACAGCUGCCUCGCCUCUAUUGGCUACUGCCAUCCAUGUAACAGACUCUUGGGAAAUAUGCUCAGCUGAAAAACUGCAUUUCCCAACUCAAGACCUAAGAGGUGGUCAGGAGAUACAAGCAGGAGUCCUUGGAUGAGAUCUGUUUCCCAGAGCCAUCAUGUGCAAGACUAAUUUCGCUCUCCAUAUGAAAAGUCUUCAAGUAUUUGAAGACUGCCUGGCCAUCCUGCACACCCUGAAUCUUCACUCCUCUGGCUGCGCAUCUGGAGUGACGGAGCCCCUCCCUCGCUGUGCUUCAGCUUGUUCCUUCCCUUCUUCAAUGGGACUCCAAGGAACGAAGGUCAUAUUGCAAGUGCACUUCUGUUUUUGUGGCCAUCCUCUGAUACAACCAUGUUCGGCAGGAGUCACUUGGCAACUUUCAGCUGGUGGAUGGGCUGAUCUGGAGGAUCUGAGAUUGUUUCACUCACAUGCCCAGUGCCUUGCAAGGCUGGCUGAAGGGCUGGGAUCAGUGGGGCUGGGAGGCAGAGAGCUCACCUACAGCGUCUCCAGCGUGGCAACCCCAGGGCAUCAGAACUUCUCACGUGGCACCUCAGGACUCCAGGAGCGACUGCUGCCACAAUCCAGGAGGCACUGUAUGGCCUCUGUGACUUGGCCUCAGAAGUCACACCAUGUCACAACCUUUGCACUUUGUUGGCCGAGGCAGUCACAAGGCUGCCCAGAUUCAAGGAGAGGAGACAUAGACCCUACCUCUUAGAUGAAAGAGGCAUCAAAGAAUUUGCAGCCAUUUUUAAAACAGCCAGUUUUCUUUGACUGCAUGCUUUUAUUUUCCCCUGUAAUCAUUCUCAAAGUGAGAUCUCUAUAUAGUAGGUGCUGUCAAAUGACACGGGGGAGUGUCUUUCUCAGGUCUCUUACUGGGAGGUACAGCACUGGUGUAGAUGGGUCUUUCCUCCCUGCUGUGUGUAGAAGGCUGUCACCUGGGCUGCACCAUUCUGGAUGCCACACUAUUACUGACCCAGUCUAAGACAUGAUUAACCCCUUUGGAGACAAUGUAACAUUGCCGACCCACAUCAAGCUCACUGUAUACUACAGUCCCAGCUCUUCUUCUUGCUUGCUUGGAAGUACCUGCCCUACCUGUCAGCUGCUAGUGACCCCCCACCCAUGAACAGUCCAUACCACAGUCUUCUCAUGCUCAACACCAAGCUCAUUUGAUUUCAGUUGGUACAUUUUUGUUCUUCCUCUUUAUGAGGUUCCUCAAAUCCAGGCCUGGGGCAGGCAUCUCUCUGCUGCUCCAUGACCGUCCAUGAGUCAUGGAGAGUGGCCCUGUGAUCUCAGAGGGGUUUUCAAAACCAGAGUGUGUUUGCCAACAAAAAUGAUCAACAUUGAUUGGAGGGCUGGAGAAGGAGUUAUAGAGUCUGGAAAGUGAGCCAGCUAAAUCUUCAUCUUCGAAAAUGGAGAGGUUGUAGAUAAUGUCUGAAGUUGACAGAGCAAGGAAGGACAUUCUAUAAACAUAUUGCUGUAUUUGGAGUUAUGCAGGUAGCCACUGAAAAACUAAGAACAGAAAUGCUUCAAACUGGUUGCCUCUGGAAAGAGAGCUGGGAGGAAGAGUGGGCUGGGAGAGACCAGCUCUCCUCAUGCUCAGCCAUGCAGUGCAAUGUAGUAUUUUACCUUGUGCAUGGAUUUUGUAAUAAGAAAUAGUGAUGUGCAUUUGGAUGUUAAAAACAUUAUACAACAAUUUAGAGUGAGGCAUGCCAUUUAAAAGGCCUGAUUAGAGGUUGCGGUUUGUCAUUACAUUUUAUAAAGGGUUGUCUUCUUGCUUUGGGUUUAAGCUCUGUUUUCAUUAUUUUAAUUUGUUUUUUAGAAAAUCACAAAAUUGGGACCAAACCAGGAGAGAGUUGAAGACAAUGGGGUAAGGGGGAGAAAAGCUCCCCAGUGAAUUCAGCUGCCCUUUCUGUAUCACUCUAUGUACUUUGAUUUUAUGUCCUUCUGGAAAAAUUAAAUUGGAACUCCCUUUA
This is a long non-coding RNA of Gorilla gorilla gorilla (western lowland gorilla), 2315 nucleotides long. RefSeq lists it as uncharacterized. The record is from RefSeq and is a predicted model, not a curated record. The transcript has 4 exons. NCBI's taxonomy places the organism in Eukaryota, Metazoa, Chordata, Mammalia, Primates, Hominidae.